RNAcentral lists this small nuclear RNA (170 nucleotides) under Castor canadensis (American beaver). RNAcentral's name for it is "U2 spliceosomal RNA (ENSCCNG00000029700.1)". It matches the Rfam family "U2 spliceosomal RNA". Rfam says of the family: U2 is a small nuclear RNA (snRNA) component of the spliceosome (involved in pre-mRNA splicing). Complementary binding between U2 snRNA (in an area lying towards the 5' end but 3' to hairpin I) and the branchpoint sequence (BPS) of the intron results the bulging out of an unpaired adenosine, on the BPS, which initiates a nucleophilic attack at the intronic 5' splice site, thus starting the first of two transesterification reactions that mediate splicing. Lineage: Eukaryota; Metazoa; Chordata; Mammalia; Rodentia; Castoridae. The record is from Rfam by way of RNAcentral.
CUGACUUCUAGGUCUUUUGGCUAAGAUCAGGUAUCUGCUCUUACCAGUUUAAUACCUGCUACGUCCUCUAUCCGAGGACAAUAUAUUCAAUGUAUUUUUGAAAGUAGGCGCUCCGUUCACGCCAUGAAUCAACCUGGUAUUGUAGAACUUUUAGGAACGGUGCACCCACC